AUGGCGGGGGUCCAGGAACGGCAAUACGAAGAGUUCUUUGGUGGGUUUUACUUCGAUGAAGAUGCGUUAAGCAAGGAUAUAUCACUGGAUGGGCUGGACAAGGAACUUGAGGAGCACAAGAACUAUGAUGUGCUAAUAAGUAUUCUAACCAACGGUGAAAAACAGCGUGACAUGGCAACCAUGGUGGAAGGCAACCUAGGCCAUAUUGAACAGGAUCUGAUUCAAGAUUAUAUAAAAGAUAAUGACAGCCUAGUUCUGUUGCAUGAUCAGAUUCAUGACUGUGACAUUGUUUUAUCUCAAAUAGGAUCACUUCUUAGUGGAUUUCAGGUUCACAUUGGUUCUUUAAGCUCGGAACUUAGAAGUCUCCACGAGAAAUCCUUGGACUUGGGUGUGAGGCUGAAGAACCGGAAGUUGGCUGAGACAAAGCUUGCAGCAUUUGUCGAAGAAAUUGUCGCUCCUCCUGGUUUGGUGAAUGCUAUAAUUGAUGGAGAGGUAAAUGAUGAUUAUAUCAAAAGUCUAAACAUGUUGAGCAAAAAGUUAAGAUUUGCUCAAGUUGAUCCAUUGCUUAAUGCAUCAAAAGCUCUGAAAGAUAUUAAGCAAGAACUGGAAAGGCUUCGGAAAAAGGCACUAUCAAAGGUGUCCGCCUAUGUCAUUGGGAUAUUCUCUUCCAUGAGAAAGCCUGGAACUAAUAUCCAGAUACUUCAACAAAAUUUGCUUCAGAAGUAUAGGCAUCUUGUUCUCUUUCUUAAAGAGCAUGGAAUCGAGAAAUAUAAUGAUGUCUGUGCAGCAUAUGUUGAUAAAAUGAACAAGGUGCUGAGUGAAGAUUUUCGUGUGUACCUAGAAGCAUUGGAGAGUUUGAAGCUAGAUAUUGGUGUAUCCACUGAUGUGAUUGGAUAUGACGCCAAUGUCGUAGACCUUAUACCAAGGGGGAGAGAGCAACUGAGAAAUCAUCGUUUCAUGUUUUCUUUAGGUGAACGAUCAAACAUUUUGAAGGAGAUUGAUCAGCCUGGCUUGGUACCUUGUAUAUCUGAAGCUAAUUCCUUGAAAUACCCAUAUGAAGUUAUUUUUAGGAGCCUACAAAAGCUUCUGAUGGACACUGCUAGCUCUGAGUAUAUUUUUAUCAAAGCAUUCUUUCGCGAUGAGUCGAUGUUUUAUCGAGUUUUUGAAGGACCUGUUGCAGUAAUUGAUGAAAACAUGAAGCUUACUCUUGCAAAUAGUCAUGAUGCAAUAUGCCUGAUGCUCAUGAUCUGCAUAACUAAAAAGCACCAGCUGGUUAUGUCCAACAGGCGGCUUCCUUGUCUAGAUACAUAUUUGGAUAAGGCUCUGAUCUAUCUCUGGCCACGUUUCAAGACAGUGUUUGACAUGUAUAUUCAAAGCUUGUACCAAUGUGAUGCGAAAAUGUUAUGGGUGGAUGGGACCCAUCCACACCACAUUGUAAGGUGCUACAUGGAGUUCACAGCAUCUCUUAUUCAACUUAAUGCUGAAUGUGGAGAUGGUCAGCUUGAUAUGAGCUUGAAAAGGUUGCGGUUAGCUGUUGAUGAUCUACUUGUUAGAUUUGCCGAAAAGUUUGCAACUCAGAAACUGAAACACCUGUUUCUUUUGAAUAAUUGUGACAUGGCCAUCUCUAUCCUGAAGGAAGCUGGUGAAGAAGCAAAAGAACUGCGAAGAUAUUUUGAAGAGAAGCUGGAAAGUAACCUGGUGUCAUUUGUGGAUGAAUUGCUCAUGGAGUAUUUUGGUGAUUUAAUUAAAUUUGUGAAGAACCACAUUUCCGAAGACCUAAUUUCUUACACUGAGUGCCCAAACAUUGCUGAUGUUGAGCCGGUUGUGAAGAACUUCGCCGUGAAGUGGAGAACUGCUCUAGAGCUCAUGCACAAUGAAGUUGUAACUUGUUGCAGUAACUUUGUGUCUGGUAUGGCGAUUCUAAAAGCAGCAAUGGCUCAGUUGCUUAAUGACUACAACAGACUCUCAGAAUGUGUGAAGAUGAUCCCAGGUGGAUCUUCUUUGAACAGGAAUCUGGUUUCUAUCACCUCGAUUUCAUACGAAAUCAGGAAAUAUUCAAGAACACUCUAG
Molecule: ribosomal RNA, 2070 nt
Filed under: Triticum aestivum (bread wheat)
Lineage: Eukaryota; Viridiplantae; Streptophyta; Magnoliopsida; Poales; Poaceae
Description: partial small subunit ribosomal RNA
Source: RNAcentral